GCGGCGUGCCUAAUACAUGCAAGUCGAGCGAGGUUCUUCGGAACCUAGCGGCGGACGGGUGAGUAACACGUGGGUAACCUGCCUAUAAGACUGGGAUAACUUCGGGAAACCGAAGCUAAUACCGGAUACUUUCGAGCAUCGCAUGAUGCUUGAUGGAAAGACGGCUUCGGCUGUCACUUACAGAUGGACCCGCGUCGCAUUAGCUAGUUGGUGAGGUAACGGCUCACCAAGGCGACGAUGCGUAGCCGACCUGAGAGGGUGAUCGGCCACACUGGGACUGAGACACGGCCCAGACUCCUACGGGAGGCAGCAGUAGGGAAUCUUCGGCAAUGGGCGAAAGCCUGACCGAGCAACGCCGCGUGAGCGAUGAAGGCCUUCGGGUCGUAAAGCUCUGUUGUUAAGGAAGAACAAGUACGAGAGUAACUGCUCGUACCUUGACGGUACUUAACGAGAAAGCCACGGCUAACUACGUGCCAGCAGCCGCGGUAAUACGUAGGUGGCAAGCGUUAUCCGGAAUUAUUGGGCGUAAAGCGCGCGCAGGCGGUUUCUUAAGUCUGAUGUGAAAGCCCACGGCUCAACCGUGGAGGGUCAUUGGAAACUGGGGAACUUGAGUGCAGAAGAGGAAAGCGGAAUUCCACGUGUAGCGGUGAAAUGCGUAGAGAUGUGGAGGAACACCAGUGGCGAAGGCGGCUUUCUGGUCUGUAACU
RNAcentral lists this ribosomal RNA (707 nucleotides) under uncultured bacterium. Its description in RNAcentral is "bacterial SSU rRNA". It matches the Rfam family "Bacterial small subunit ribosomal RNA", at positions 39 to 741 of the family's 1533-position model. The record is from RNAcentral.